This 240-nucleotide long non-coding RNA is filed under the name Mytilus galloprovincialis (Mediterranean mussel). The record is from RNAcentral. Lineage: Eukaryota; Metazoa; Mollusca; Bivalvia; Mytilida; Mytilidae.
AAAAUAUAGAACAAGGCCUUUUACAAGGGAAAAUAUGAGGAAAAUAGAAAUUGUUUGAUUUACGCCAUGAAAACCAAGUCUUCCAGUGGCAAGUAUUAAAGGCAUAUCAAGACGAGUUAAUGUAUGUCUGUUUAGUGCUAGGACGACACACUGAGCUGCAAUAUCAAUUUGCCAUUUCACAUUGUUAAGUCCACAGGAAACCACAUCAACCUGCCUGGGCAAAUUGUUCUGACUCAAACA